Molecule: ribosomal RNA, 396 nt
Filed under: uncultured Pelotomaculum sp.
Lineage: Bacteria; Bacillati; Bacillota; Clostridia; Eubacteriales; Desulfotomaculaceae
Description: bacterial SSU rRNA
Rfam family: Bacterial small subunit ribosomal RNA
Source: RNAcentral
UCCCUGACCGCGUAUGAAAGUACGUUUUCACCCUCGGGUGACAGGGAGACAGGUGGUGCAUGGUUGUCGUCAGCUCGUGUCGUGAGAUGUUGGGUUAAGUCCCGCAACGAGCGCAACCCCUACGUUUAGUUGCUAACAGGUGAAGCUGAGCACUCUAGACGAACUGCCGUUGACAAAACGGAGGAAGGUGGGAUGACGUCAAAUCAUCAUGCCCCUUAUGUUCUGGGCUACACACGUGCUACAAUGGCCGGUACAGACGGAGGCGAAGCCGCGAGGCGGAGCAAAUCCGAAAAAGCCGGUCUCAGUUCGGAUUGCAGGCUGCAAUUCGCCUGCAUGAAGUCGGAAUCGCUAGUAAUCGCAGGUCAGCAUACUGCGGUGAAUACGUUCCCGGGCCUU